Molecule: transfer RNA, 74 nt
Filed under: Candidatus Nitrosopelagicus brevis
Lineage: Archaea; Thermoproteati; Nitrososphaerota
Also listed under: 1 other name
Description: tRNA-His(gtg)
Rfam family: tRNA
About the family: Transfer RNA (tRNA) molecules are approximately 80 nucleotides in length. Their secondary structure includes four short double-helical elements and three loops (D, anti-codon, and T loops). Further hydrogen bonds mediate the characteristic L-shaped molecular structure. tRNAs have two regions of fundamental functional importance: the anti-codon, which is responsible for specific mRNA codon recognition, and the 3' end, to which the tRNAs corresponding amino acid is attached (by aminoacyl-tRNA synthetases). tRNAs cope with the degeneracy of the genetic code in two manners: having more than one tRNA (with a specific anti-codon) for a particular amino acid; and 'wobble' base-pairing, i.e. permitting non-standard base-pairing at the 3rd anti-codon position.
Source: RNAcentral
GCCUCUGUCGUCCAAUGGCUAGGAUAGGGGAUUGUGGAUCCCCGGAUGGGUGUUCGAUUCCCCCCAGAGGCCCC